Molecule: ribosomal RNA, 253 nt
Filed under: uncultured bacterium
Lineage: Bacteria
Description: partial 16S ribosomal RNA
Rfam family: Bacterial small subunit ribosomal RNA
Source: RNAcentral
UACGUAGGGGGCGAGCGUUGUCCGGAGUUACUGGGCGUAAAGCGCACGCAGGCGGUCUGCUAAGUUUGGAGUGACAGUUGGUGGCUUAACUGCCAAAGUGCUUCGAAAACUGACAGACUUGAGGGCUUCAGAGGGACACGGAAUUCCGGGUGGAGUGGUGAAAUGCGUAGAGAUCCGGAGGAACACCAACGGCGUAGGCAGCGCCCUAGACGAGACCUGACGCUCAGGCACGAAAGCGCGGGGAGCGAACAGG